GCACUGUUGAAGAGUUCCAUACUAGGACGAAACGGCAGUCCAGUGC
RNAcentral lists this non-coding RNA (46 nucleotides) under Schistosoma haematobium. Lineage: Eukaryota; Metazoa; Platyhelminthes; Trematoda; Strigeidida; Schistosomatidae. The record is from RNAcentral.